RNAcentral lists this ribosomal RNA (254 nucleotides) under uncultured Fusobacterium sp. RNAcentral describes it as "partial 16S ribosomal RNA". It matches the Rfam family "Bacterial small subunit ribosomal RNA", at positions 103 to 354 of the family's 1533-position model. The record is from RNAcentral. Lineage: Bacteria; Fusobacteriati; Fusobacteriota; Fusobacteriia; Fusobacteriales; Fusobacteriaceae.
CGGGUGAGUAACGCGUAAAGAACUUGCCUCAUAGUCUGGGACAACAUUUGGAAACGGAUGCUAAUACCGGAUAUUAUGCUUUCUUCGCAUGGAGGAAGUAUGAAAGCUAUAUGCGCUAUGAGAGAGCUUUGCGUCCCAUUAGCUAGUUGGUGAGGUAACGGCCCACCAAGGCGAUGAUGGGUAGCCGGCCUGAGAGGGUGAACGGCCACAAGGGGACUGAGACACGGCCCUUACUCCUACGGGAGGCAGCAGAC